RNAcentral lists this unclassified non-coding RNA (152 nucleotides) under uncultured fungus. Its description in RNAcentral is "sequence contains ITS1". Lineage: Eukaryota; Fungi. The record is from RNAcentral.
GUUCCCCGGUCAGAGAUCCCUGGUGAAGAGACUUCAGUCACGCAGCCAUUUCCAACACAGUUACCUGCACUUGGAUUGCAGAAACUAACUGAAGAUGAUGCCUGGGGGCCAACACCCGAGAUGACUCAAAAAGCAAAAGACCGGAUCCGUCA